This 214-nucleotide unclassified non-coding RNA is filed under the name rhizosphere metagenome. RNAcentral's name for it is "partial ribosomal RNA internal transcribed spacer region". The record is from RNAcentral.
GUAGGUGAACCUGCGGAAGGAUCAUUAAUGAGAUUGCUGUUGGGUGCAGUGAUGUAUCCACCAGUAAGAUUCAUCCUUGUGUUAUGUAACAUGUUGAUUGUGUGGUGCUGUUGCAUUGCACAUCAUUUUAUUCCAUUUCAAUCCACCUCUUAUUCUACGCCUGUAACAAGGCACAAACAAUCGAAAACUGCCAGCAAUGGAUCACUCGGUUCUC